GACGAACGCUGGCGGCGUGCUUAACACAUGCAAGUCGAACGCUGAAGCUUGGUGCUUGCACUGGGUGGAUGAGUGGCGAACGGGUGAGUAAUACGUGAGUAACCUGCCCUUCACUCUGGGAUAAGCCUGGGAAACUGGGUCUAAUACUGGAUACGACAUGUCACCGCAUGGUGGUGUGUGGAAAGGGUUUUACUGGUUUUGGAUGGGCUCACGGCCUAUCAGCUUGUUGGUGGGGUAAUGGCUCACCAAGGCAACGACGGGUAGCCGGCCUGAGAGGGUGACCGGCCACACUGGGACUGAGACACGGCCCAGACUCCUACGGGAGGCAGCAGUGGGGAAUAUUGCACAAUGGGCGGAAGCCUGAUGCAGCGACGCCGCGUGAGGGAUGACGGCCUUCGGGUUGUAAACCUCUUUCAGCACGGAAGAAGCGAAAGUGACGGUACGUGCAGAAGAAGCGCCGGCUAACUACGU
RNAcentral lists this ribosomal RNA (471 nucleotides) under uncultured bacterium. RNAcentral describes it as "partial 16S ribosomal RNA". It matches the Rfam family "Bacterial small subunit ribosomal RNA", at positions 28 to 506 of the family's 1533-position model. The record is from RNAcentral.